This 339-nucleotide ribosomal RNA is filed under the name Siganus javus (streaked spinefoot). RNAcentral's name for it is "partial 12S ribosomal RNA". It matches the Rfam family "Bacterial small subunit ribosomal RNA", at positions 1041 to 1533 of the family's 1533-position model. Lineage: Eukaryota; Metazoa; Chordata; Actinopteri; Siganidae. The record is from RNAcentral.
AUAUACCACCGUCGUCAGCUUACCCUGCGAAGACCCAAUAGUAAGCACAAUUGGCACAGCCCAAAACGUCAGGUCGAGGUGUAGCGUAUGGAAGGGGAAGAAAUGGGCUACAUUCCCUACCCCAGGGAACCACGAACGAUACUCUGAAAUAAGUAUCUAAAGGAGGAUUUAGCAGUAAGCAGAAAAUAGAGCGUUCCGCUGAAACCGGCCCUGAAGCGCGCACACACCGCCCGUCACUCUCCCCGAGCUUAAUAAACUCAACUAACUAAAACCCCAUAAUUGCAAAGGGGAGGCAAGUCGUAACAUGGUAAGUGUACCGGAAGGUGCACUUGGAAAAAU